Molecule: ribosomal RNA, 400 nt
Filed under: uncultured bacterium
Lineage: Bacteria
Description: partial 16S ribosomal RNA
Source: RNAcentral
AGCGGGGGGGGCAGCUGCGGGACAGUGGGCAAUGAGCGAGAGACCCCUUUCAAUAGCAUAAGCCGCGCCUGCGGUGUGAGCGCAUCGGCACCCUAUGAGCCAAAUCGUUUGUGGGUGGGGGGGCGGAGGUAGCUAGUUACUAAGUUAUUGGGUUAUCGCAUCACAGAUCGGGCGCCCGUGAGGGGGUGAGACAACCCCCCCCCCCACUAUGACACUGUACACAGUCCCAGAGUAGUCGGGCAGCCGCAAUUGGGGAAAUGGGCCAAUGGGUCAAGCCUGAAUCCCGCCAGGCUGAUGUCACUAUGAGGCCCUUAGGUCCUUUAAGCUCUUUCGGCAGGGAGAGGGCUGACGGUACUGAAGAAGAAGACCCGCCUAACUUCGUGCCAGCAGCCGCGGUAAU